This 93-nucleotide small RNA is filed under the name Companilactobacillus tucceti. Its description in RNAcentral is "Lactobacillus tucceti SAM-III sequence". It matches the Rfam family "SAM-III riboswitch aptamer (SMK box)". RNAcentral also lists the same sequence under 1 other name. Lineage: Bacteria; Bacillati; Bacillota; Bacilli; Lactobacillales; Lactobacillaceae. The record is from RNAcentral.
ACCUAUUAAAAGGUUCCUGAUGGGAUCCUUUUUUUAUUUCUGGGAAACUGGAUAAAAGGAGAAGCCCUGUAACCGAAAGGUGGAAAAAAUAUG